Galendromus occidentalis (western predatory mite) is the source of this 70-nucleotide small nucleolar RNA. Lineage: Eukaryota; Metazoa; Arthropoda; Arachnida; Mesostigmata; Phytoseiidae. The record is from RefSeq and is a predicted model, not a curated record.
UAUCAGUGAUGAUCAACCCAGUUCUGCUUCUGAUCUCGUUGAAGAUAAUCAUACCAAAACCACCUGAUGA